GGUAAAAUGGCUGAUUUAAGGCAAUAAAUUGUAAAUUUAUUUAUGAGAUUUAUUUCUUUUUUACCA
Molecule: transfer RNA, 66 nt
Filed under: Megalodontes quinquecinctus
Lineage: Eukaryota; Metazoa; Arthropoda; Insecta; Hymenoptera; Megalodontesidae
Description: tRNA-Tyr
Rfam family: tRNA
About the family: Transfer RNA (tRNA) molecules are approximately 80 nucleotides in length. Their secondary structure includes four short double-helical elements and three loops (D, anti-codon, and T loops).
Source: RNAcentral